UGUAAUCUCCUUUCCCCUCUCGCACGCUCUCUCCUCACCUACUCUGUUCUUCCCCUUACCCCUCUUGUUCUUCCUCGAUUCCUCAUCUCCUCUAGUUCGGGCCCUGACAAAAUCCACGUCUAGACAGGACUGGGCAACAUCUGAAAUUCAUGAUCGCUGCAGAGGACUGCAGUCUGCAGCUGAGCUUCUUAAGGUAAUCGCUGCAGAGGACUGCAGUUGAGCUUCUUGAGGUAAUCGCUUCAGUGGUCUGCAGCUGAGCUUUCUUCAGGUAAUCCCAUUGCCAGCGAAAUAUCCGAUGCAUGAUUGCUGUCUUUAGUUAAUCAUGCUGCUUCUUUAUCGUGUCAUUUUUUUGUGCCAGCGAAAUAUCUUCUCCUGCAUGCAUGAUUGCUGUCUUUAGUUACAGGACAUGCUGCUUCUUUAUCGUGUUCAGGACGCUUUGGACCAAUCAUCCACACAGUGUCAUCUUUGAUUCAAAGAAAUCCCAUUGGAAUUCUGAGAAGUGGGCUUCUUUUAAAUGUUUUCGUAUAAGAACCUUUUUUCAUUCAAAGGAAUUAUAUGGAAUUUUGGAGGAUUCUGUUCUUUGGGAUUUCCCCCCUAUAAAGCUUGUCUGAUUUGUUGGACUGAGAACCAUAUGAAUUUCACGCGCAAUUCAAAAGAAGAAUAUUUAUUGAGUCUAACCUCGUGUAUUUGUUCCAUUCAAAAGUGACAUGUUAAGAGUUUGUGACAUGUCUCAUGCUAAAGUGUAGCGCUGUCUAAUGUUUUCCUAAAAGUGUAGUAUAGUAAUAGUAUUGAAAAAGAAGUGUAUUGUCAUGAGCGAUGAGAAUCUAAGAGCCAGAUCUAAUAGACUCAUGAAGAAUGCAUUUUUUCUUGUUUUAAGGGUAUUGUGUUUGUAACUGCAAAUGGAUCACCGAACUAUUACCUCACAAAAAGUUUUUUUUCUUUUCGAAAAGGGUUUAUCCCCUGCCUCUGCAUCAGAGUGAUGCAUACGGCCAAUUACCUCACAAAACAAAAAGUACUGCAGCGUAUUCUAUUUGAUGAAAGCGCAGAACCAAAGGCCCUAUCGUUAUCACUUCUGGAGCACAUCACCAACAGUUUCUCUGAUGACAAAGAAAUUGGCUGUGGUGGCUUUGCAAGGGUUUAUAAGCAUGUUGCUGUUAUAGGGAAUGCUUGACAAUGGCACUGUUGCUGUGAAGAAGCUUUGCGAUAUGCUUGAUAUGGAUGAGAAGAAAUUCAGCGAAGAAAUUCGUUGUCUGAUGAAGGCGACGCACAAAAAUGUAGUACGGUUCCUAGGAUAUUGCUCUGACAGACAAGGGGAAAUGGUAAACUGCAAGGGAAAACUUGUCUUAGCAGAUGUACGACAAAGGCUACUCUGCUUUGAAUAUCUACCUAAAGGCAGUCUAGAUAAGCACAUCACCGGUAGGCUGAUGUCGCAUGUAUUUGGUUCAAACAUCCAUUUAUUUAGUGUUUAGUGACUACUGACGACUUCAAGUUUCUCAAAUACUAAACCAACUUUCUGCUCUCCGUUUUCUAGAUGUAUCUUGUGGACUUGAAUGGAGAAAGCGCUACCAAAUCAUCAAUGGAAUUUGUGAUGGUUUAUAUUAUCUGCACCAAAAUCACAUCGUUCACUUGGAUCUUAAGCCGGCAAAUAUACUGCUAGAUGAUACUAUGUUGCCGAAAAUUGCUGAUUUUGGUCUAUCGAGGUGCU
RNA transcript from Triticum dicoccoides, 1705 nucleotides. It is a transcript of the gene named probable receptor-like protein kinase At5g18500, with no coding region annotated. NCBI's taxonomy places the organism in Eukaryota, Viridiplantae, Streptophyta, Magnoliopsida, Poales, Poaceae. The transcript has 2 exons. The record is from RefSeq and is a predicted model, not a curated record.